GACAGAGGGUGCAAACGUUGCUCGGAAUCACUGGGCGUAAAGGGCGUGUAGGCGGGAAGGAAAGUCAGAUGUGAAAUCCCCGGGCUCAACCUGGGAACUGCAUUUGAAACUCCCUUUCUUGAGUACCGGAGAGGAAAGUGGAAUUCCUGGUGUAGAGGUGAAAUUCGUAGAUAUCAGGAGGAACACCAGUGGCGAAGGCGGCUUUCUGGACGGUAACUGACGCUGAGACGCGAAAGCGUGGGGAGCAAACAGG
This 253-nucleotide ribosomal RNA is filed under the name uncultured bacterium. RNAcentral describes it as "partial 16S ribosomal RNA". It matches the Rfam family "Bacterial small subunit ribosomal RNA", at positions 524 to 776 of the family's 1533-position model. The record is from RNAcentral.